Long non-coding RNA from Photinus pyralis (common eastern firefly), 455 nucleotides. RefSeq lists it as uncharacterized. Lineage: Eukaryota; Metazoa; Arthropoda; Insecta; Coleoptera; Lampyridae. The record is from RefSeq and is a predicted model, not a curated record. The transcript has 2 exons.
UUAAAUAUUAAUAACCAAUCGAGCUGGUAUAUAAAGCAAACCCGAAACUUCUCUCAGCAAGUGCAACUUCUGGCAAGUGUCUUAAAGUACUUAAUUUAAAAUGCAAGCUGUUCUCUUGAUCACCGUUGUGUUGGCGUUCUUUGCCUUGGCGUUCGCCAACCCCUCGCCCAAUCCCAAUCCGAUGCCAAGACCAAGACCUCAAUAUUGGAAUUACGGAUAUGGAAUGUCAAUGCCUUACUACGGAAUGGGCUAUGGUUACUACUUCUAAUUGCUGUCAAGUUCAACCCCUUUCUGUGAACCACCGUUUUUGCAAAUUUUUUUAAUACUUAUUUAGGUUUUUAAAUGACGUUUCACCAAACUCAGAAUAUUAGCAACCCGUUAUGUUUUAGAUUUCUUUUAUCUCUGCCACUGUGGCUAACAAUUAGUAAACCUAACAGUUUCUUUUAAAUCUUUUA